UACGUAGGGGGCAAGCGUUGUCCGGAAUCAUUGGGCGUAAAGCGCGCGUAGGCGGUCCGAUAAGUCUGCUGUGAAAGUCGGGGGCUCAACCCUCGGAUGCCGGUGGAUACUGUCGGGCUUGAGUGCGGAAGAGGCGAGUGGAAUUCCUGGUGUAGCGGUGAAAUGCGCAGAUAUCAGGAGGAACACCAAUUGCGAAGGCAGCUCGCUGGGACGUUACUGACGCUGAUGCGCGAAAGCUAGGGGAGCAAACGGG
RNAcentral lists this ribosomal RNA (253 nucleotides) under uncultured bacterium. RNAcentral describes it as "partial 16S ribosomal RNA". It matches the Rfam family "Bacterial small subunit ribosomal RNA", at positions 524 to 776 of the family's 1533-position model. The record is from RNAcentral.